Ixodes scapularis (black-legged tick) is the source of this 72-nucleotide non-coding RNA. Lineage: Eukaryota; Metazoa; Arthropoda; Arachnida; Ixodida; Ixodidae. The record is from Rfam.
GCGCCGAUGGUAUAGUUGUUAGCAUAGCUGUCUUGCAAGCAGUUGACCCGGGUUCGAUUCCCGGCCGAGGCA